This 514-nucleotide ribosomal RNA is filed under the name uncultured microorganism. RNAcentral describes it as "bacterial SSU rRNA". It matches the Rfam family "Bacterial small subunit ribosomal RNA", at positions 9 to 524 of the family's 1533-position model. The record is from RNAcentral.
GAGUUUGAUCGUGGCUCAGGAUGAACGCUAGCGGGAGGCCUAACACAUGCAAGCCGAGCGGUAUUGUUUCUUCGGAAAUGAGAGAGCGGCGUACGGGUGCGGAACACGUGUGCAACCUGCCUUUAUCUGGGGGAUAGCCUUUCGAAAGGAAGAUUAAUACUCCAUAACAUAUUUAACGGCAUCGUUUGAUAUUGAAAGCUCCGGCGGAUAGAGAUGGGCACGCGCAAGAUUAGCUAGUUGGUGAGGUAACGGCUCACCAAGGCGAUGAUCUUUAGGGGCCUGAGAGGGUGAUCCCCCACACUGGUACUGAGACACGGACCAGACUCCUACGGGAGGCAGCAGUGAGGAAUAUUGGUCAAUGGGUGCAAGCCUGAACCAGCCAUCCCGCGUGAAGGACGACUGCCCUAUGGGUUGUAAACUUCUUUUGUAUAGGGAUAAACCUACCCUCGUGAGGGUAGCUGAAGGUACUAUACGAAUAAGCACCGGCUAACUCCGUGCCAGCAGCCGCCGUAAG